Molecule: ribosomal RNA, 252 nt
Filed under: uncultured bacterium
Lineage: Bacteria
Description: partial 16S ribosomal RNA
Rfam family: Bacterial small subunit ribosomal RNA
Source: RNAcentral
UACGGAGGAUGCGAGCGUUAUCCGGAUUUAUUGGGUUUAAAGGGUGCGUAGGCGGACUGUCAAGUCAGCGGUAAAAUUGAGAGGCUCAACCUCUUCCCGCCGUUGAAACUGGUGGUCUUGAGUGGAUGAGAAGUACGCGGAAUGCGUGGUGUAGCGGUGAAAUGCAUAGAUAUCACGCAGAACUCCGAUUGCGAAGGCAGCGUACCGGCAUCCAACUGACACUGAGGCUCGAAAGCGUGGGGAGCAAAUAGG